AUUUAUAUAGUUUACUUAAAACAUUACAUUUUCACUGUAAAAAUAAAAUAAAAAUUUUUAUAAAUAUA
This 68-nucleotide transfer RNA is filed under the name Attacus atlas. RNAcentral describes it as "tRNA-Glu". The record is from RNAcentral. Lineage: Eukaryota; Metazoa; Arthropoda; Insecta; Lepidoptera; Saturniidae.